RNAcentral lists this ribosomal RNA (253 nucleotides) under uncultured bacterium. Its description in RNAcentral is "partial 16S ribosomal RNA". It matches the Rfam family "Bacterial small subunit ribosomal RNA", at positions 524 to 776 of the family's 1533-position model. The record is from RNAcentral.
UACAGAGGUCUCAAGCGUUGUUCGGAAUCACUGGGCGUAAAGGGUGUGUAGGCUGCGUGUUAAGUCAGAUGUGAAAUCCCGGGGCUCAACCUCGGAACUGCAUCCGAUACUGGCAUGCUAGAGAAUUGGAGAGGAGUCUAGAAUUCACGGUGUAGCAGUGAAAUGCGUAGAUAUCGUGAGGAAUACCAAGGGCGAAGGCAGGACUCUGGACAUUUUCUGACGCUGAGACACGAAGGCUAGGGGAGCAAACGGG